Molecule: ribosomal RNA, 1705 nt
Filed under: Flavobacteriales bacterium
Lineage: Bacteria; Pseudomonadati; Bacteroidota; Flavobacteriia; Flavobacteriales
Description: partial 23S ribosomal RNA
Rfam family: Bacterial large subunit ribosomal RNA
Source: RNAcentral
AAUAGGACGUGAUCCGCAGGUGUCCGAAUGGGGCAACCCGGUAUACUGAAGGUAUAUCAUCCCGCAAGGGAAGCAAACCCGGAGAACUGAAACAUCUAAGUACCCGGAGGAAGAGAAAACAAUUCAGUGAUUUCCUAAGUAGUGGCGAGCGAACGGGAAAUAGCCCAAACUCAAGUGGCGUGCUGCUUGAGGGUUGUAGGACUGUAACGUGGAAUACAUAAAUAUAAUGGAAUUGCAUCUGGAAAGUUGCUCCAUAGAAGGUGAUAGUCCUGUACAUGAAAUAUUUAUGUUACCUAACAGUAUCCUGAGUACCGCGGGACCGGAGAAAUCCUGUGGGAAUCUGCCAGCACCAUCUGGUAAGGCUAAAUACUACUGAAUGACCGAUAGUGAACAAGUACCGUGAGGGAAAGGUGAAAAGAACCGCGAACAGCGGAGUGAAAUAGGACCUGAAACCAUACGUCUACAAGCGGAGGAAGCGCAAGCGACCUCGUGCCUUUUGCAUAAUGAGCCUACGAGUUAUACCUCACUGGCAAGGUUAAGUCCGCGUACGGACAGAGCCGCAGCGAAAGCGAGUCUGAAUAGGGCGAAAGUCAGUGGGGAUAGACGCGAAACCUAGUGAUCUACACAUGGCCAGGUUGAAGGUGCCGUAACAGGUACUGGAGGACCGAACUGAUUAGCGUUGAAAAGCUACCGGAUGAGUUGUGUGUAGGGGUGAAAGGCUAAUCAAACUGGGAGAUAGCUCGUACUCCCCGAAAUGUUUUUAGGAACAGCCUCGUACUUAUUGUCAUAGAGGUAGAGCUACCGAUUGGACUAGGGGGCUUCACCGCCUACCAAAUCCUGACGAACUCCGAAUGCUAUGACAUCUAUACGGGAGUGAGGCGUGGGGUGCUAAGGUCACACGCCGAGAGGGAAAUAACCCAGACCAUCAGCUAAGGUCCCUAAAAUAUGCUAAGUUGAACAAACGCAGUUUGACCGCUAUAACAGCCAGGAUGUUUGCUUGGAAGCAGCAAUUCAUUUAAAGAGUGCGUAACAGCUCACUGGUCGAGUGGUCGGGCACGGAAAAUAAUCGGGCAUAAAGCAUAUUACCGAAGCUAUGGGUUUGUCGCAAGACAAGCGGUAGGGGAGCAUUGUAGUUGCACCGAAGGUGUGUCGUAAGGCAUGCUGGAGCGGCUACAAAAGCAAAUGUAGGCAUAAGUAACGAUAAAGCAUAUGAAAAAUAUGCUCGCCGAUAGACUAAGGUUUCCUGAUCAAUGUUAAUCAGAUCAGGGUUAGUCGGGUACUAAGGCAAAGCCGAAAGGCGAUACCGAUGUAUAGCUGGUUAAUAUUCCAGCACCAGCAUUUAUUGUGAUGGAGUGACGGAGAAACGUAAGAUCCGCGACCGGACGGAUGUGGUCGUUAAAGGGCUUAGGUAUACACGCUGUAGGUAAAUCCGCAGCGGGUGCCGAAACCUGACAGUACACUGAAUCUUCGGAGGAGGUGAUAGUGAUCCCAAGUCGGCUCCCAAGAAAAACUUCUAAACUUAGAUAAAUGCUGCCCGUACCGGAAUCCGACACAGGUAGUCAAGAAGAGUAUUCUAAGGCGCUCGAGUGAACCAUGGCUAAGGAACUCGGCAAAUUAACCCUGUAACUUCGGGAAAAAGGGUGCCCGCCGCAAGGCGGGCCGCAGAGAAUUGGUCCAGGCGACUGUUUAACAAAAACACAGGGCU